This 252-nucleotide ribosomal RNA is filed under the name uncultured bacterium. Its description in RNAcentral is "partial 16S ribosomal RNA". It matches the Rfam family "Bacterial small subunit ribosomal RNA", at positions 526 to 779 of the family's 1533-position model. The record is from RNAcentral.
CGUAGGGGCAAGCGUUAUCCGGAUUUACUGGGUGUAAAGGGAGCGUAGACGGCAUGGCAAGUCUGAUGUGAAAGGCAGGGGCUCAACUCCUGGACUGCAUUGGAAACUGCCAGGCUUGAGUGCCGGAGGGUAAGCGGAAUUCCUAGUGUAGCGGUGAAAUGCGUAGAUAUUAGGAGGAACACCAGUGGCGAAGGCGGCUUACUGGACGGUAACUGACGUUGAGGCUCGAAAGCGUGGGGAGCAAACAGGAUU